AUACGGAGGGUGCAAGCGUUACUCGGAAUCACUGGGCGUAAAGCGCGCGCAGGCGGCUAUUUAAGUUGGAUGUGAAAGCCUACGGCUCAACCGUAGAACUGCAUCCAAAACUAUUUAGCUAGAGUGUGGGAGAGGAAGAUGGAAUUAGUUGUGUAGGGGUAAAAUCCGUAGAGAUAACUAGGAAUACCAAAAGCGAAGGCAAUCUUCUGGAACGCUACUGACGCUGAGGCGCGAAAGCGUGGGGAGCAAACAGGAUUAGAAACCCUAGUAGUCC
This 274-nucleotide ribosomal RNA is filed under the name uncultured bacterium. Its description in RNAcentral is "partial 16S ribosomal RNA". It matches the Rfam family "Bacterial small subunit ribosomal RNA", at positions 523 to 796 of the family's 1533-position model. The record is from RNAcentral.